GACGAACGCUGGCGGCGUGCUUAACACAUGCAAGUCGAGCGGUAAGGCCCUUUCGGGGGUACACGAGCGGCGAACGGGUGAGUAACACGUGGGUGACCUGCCCUCAGCUCUGGGAUAAGCCUGGGAAACCGGGUCUAAUACCGGAUAUGACUCCAUGACGCAUGUUGUGGGGUGGAAAGCCUUGUGCGGCUGAGGAUGGGCCCGCGGCCUAUCAGCUUGUUGGUGGGGGAUGGCCUACCAAGGCGACGACGGGUAGCCGGCCUGAGAGGGCGACCGGCCACACUGGGACUGAGACACGGCCCAGACUCCUACGGGAGGCAGCAGUGGGAAUCUUGCGCAAUGGGCGAAAGCCUGACGCAGCGACGCCGCGU
This 371-nucleotide ribosomal RNA is filed under the name uncultured bacterium. RNAcentral's name for it is "bacterial SSU rRNA". It matches the Rfam family "Bacterial small subunit ribosomal RNA", at positions 28 to 402 of the family's 1533-position model. The record is from RNAcentral.